UUGCCCUAGUAACGGCGAGUGAAGCGGCAACAGCUCAAAUUUGAAAUCUGGCCCUCGGGUCCGAAUUGUAAUUUGUAGAGGAUGCUUUUGGUUAGGUGCCUUCCGAGUUCCCUGGAACGGGACGCCUUAGAGGGUGAGAGCCCCGUACGGUUGGACGCCGAGCCUCUGUAAAGCUCCUUCGACGAGUCGAGUAGUUUGGGAAUGCUGCUCUAAAUGGGAGGUAAAUUUCUUCUAAAGCUAAAUAUUGGCCAGAGACCGAUAGCGCACAAGUAGAGUGAUCGAAAGAUGAAAAGUACUUUGAAAAGAGGGUUAAACAGCACGUGAAAUUGUUGAAAGGGAAGCGUUUAUGACCAGACUUUUUCUAGGCGGAUCAUCCGGUGUUCUCACCGGUGCACUCUGUCUAGUUUAGGCCAGCAUCGGUUUCUAUAGGGGGAUAAAAUCAGCAGGAAUGUGGCUCCCCCGGGAGUGUUAUAGCCUGUUGAAUAAUACCCUUACGGGGACCGAGGUUCGCGCUCUGCAAGGAUGCUGGCGUAAUGGUCAUCAACGACCCGUCUUGAAACACGGACCAAGGAGUCGAACAUUUGUGCGAGUGUUUGGGUGUUAAACCCUCACGCGUAAUGAAAGUGAACGGAGGUGAGAGCCUUUAGGGGUGCAUCAUCGACCGAUCCUGAAGUUUACGGAUGGAUUUGAGUAAGAGCAUAACUGUUCGGACCCGAAAGAUGGUGAACUAUGCGUGGAUAGGGUGAAGCCAGAGGAAACUCUGGUGGAGGCUCGCAGCGGUUCUGACGUGCAAAUCGAUCGUCAAAUCUGCGCAUGGGGGCGAAAGAC
Molecule: ribosomal RNA, 828 nt
Filed under: Amphisphaeria orixae
Lineage: Eukaryota; Fungi; Ascomycota; Sordariomycetes; Amphisphaeriales; Amphisphaeriaceae
Description: Amphisphaeria sp. JM-2022a partial large subunit ribosomal RNA
Rfam family: Eukaryotic large subunit ribosomal RNA
Source: RNAcentral